AGCAGCCGCGGUAAUUCCAGCUCCAAUAGCGUAUAUUAAAGUUGUUGCAGUUAAAAAGCUCGUAGUUGAAUUUCGGGGUCUAUCCAUUGGUCGGGCUUUACGGUCCGUACUGGUGAGAUGGGUUCCUACCUUCUGAAUAACCGGCAUGCCAUUCAGUUGGUGCGCCGGGGAAGCAGAGCUAUUACCUUGAAAAAAUUAGAGUGCUUAAAGCAGGCUAUUGCUUGAAUAGAUUAGCAUGGAAUAAUAAAAUAGGACGGCAUGGUUCUAUUUUGUUGGUUUCUAGGAUCACCGUAAUGAUUAAUAGGGAUAGUUGGGGGCAUUAGUAUUCAAUUGUCAGAGGUGAAAUUCUUGGAUUUAUUGAAGACUAACUUCUGCGAAAGCAUUUGCCAAGGAUGUUUUCAUUAAUCAAGAACGAAAGUUAGGGGAUCGAAGACGAUCAGAUACCGUCGUAGUCUUAACCAUAAACUAUGCCGACUAGGGAUCGGACGAUGUUAAUUUUUUAAUGGACUCGUUCGGCGCC
Molecule: ribosomal RNA, 520 nt
Filed under: uncultured Acaulospora
Lineage: Eukaryota; Fungi; Glomeromycota; Glomeromycetes; Diversisporales; Acaulosporaceae
Description: SSU rRNA
Rfam family: Eukaryotic small subunit ribosomal RNA
Source: RNAcentral